RNAcentral lists this ribosomal RNA (392 nucleotides) under uncultured bacterium. Its description in RNAcentral is "bacterial SSU rRNA". It matches the Rfam family "Bacterial small subunit ribosomal RNA", at positions 30 to 420 of the family's 1533-position model. The record is from RNAcentral.
AUUGAACGCUGGCGGCAUGCCUUACACAUGCAAGUCGAACGGCAGCACGGGUGCUUGCACCUGGUGGCGAGUGGCGAACGGGUGAGUAAUAUAUCGGAACGUACCUUAUCGUGGGGGAUAACGCAGCGAAAGCUGCGCUAAUACCGCAUACGCCCUGAGGGGGAAAGCGGGGGACCGUAAGGCCUCGCGCGAUUAGAGCGGCCGAUAUCUGAUUAGCUUGUUGGUGAGGUAAAGGCUCACCAAGGCGACGAUCAGUAGCUGGUUUGAGAGAACGACCAGCCACACUGGAACUGAGACACGGUCCAGACUCCUACGGGAGGCAGCAGUGGGGAAUUUUGGACAAUGGGGGCAACCCUGAUCCAGCCAUUCCGCGUGAGUGAAGAAGGCCUCGG